AACGCACAUUGCGCCCCCUGGCAUUCCGGGGGGCACGCCUGUUUGAGAACCUCUGCGUAACUCACCUCCGCGCAUUCACCCGGGCUGGACCCCGGGGGGGAGGGCUGCGGGGGUGGACUUGGACCGUCACGUCGUCGUCGGACGGUCGUGCGGUCUGAAAAUUCGAAUCCUCGUCCCUCAGGUUUUUUGAGCGGGCCGCGAGCGAAAGACGUGAUCAGUAUGGGUGCAGGGCAUCCGUUCGAGUCGUCGGCGAGCUCCGGUCAAGGUCUUCUUGCGACGCCUUUUCGAAGGCGGAGCCAGGCCGCGCAAACAGACGGAGGGGGGCUGUGAGAAGGCGUCCAAACGUGCCAGGCGGCGUCGACGGAGAGAUUCGUCGCGCCGAAGACCUGAACCUUUGGUCUCAAAUCAGACGAGAGCACCCGCUGAACUUAA
This 432-nucleotide unclassified non-coding RNA is filed under the name uncultured fungus. RNAcentral's name for it is "sequence contains ITS2". Lineage: Eukaryota; Fungi. The record is from RNAcentral.